AGAGCUUCUCACAGAAUGAGAAUCAGGACAAGCUGUCUGUGCAAACACCCUCUGCCUGGAUCUUCCACAUGCCUGCUGUGAUGUCCACCUCACGUUGUUUGGUCUGCAGGUUCGUCUCGUUCAGCUGGUUUGCCGGCGCUCUGAGCUCUCUGCUGCAGUUGGCUCUCUCUCUCUCUUUGCGAGUGCACGAGCAGCAGACAAGGGAGGAGUGGCACACGAAGGCAUGAGACAGGAAGUAAAGAUUUCCUGAUGAUUUCUGGGAAGUGAUCAGCGAUGAGCAUGGCAUCGACCCGACUGGAACGUACCACGGAGACAGUGAUUUGCAGCUCGACAGGAUCAGCGUUUACUACAAUGAGGCUACAGGUGGCAAGUAUGUACCCCGUGCCAUUCUUGUGGACCUGGAGCCCGGCACCAUGGACUCUGUGCGUUCCGGCCCUUUCGGACAGAUCUUCAGACCAGACAACUUUGUGUUUGGUGAGGAAAUUGUUAAUAUUUCAUAUUAUAUUAUAAUUAUUCAUUUUUAUCUAUGAAAAAA
RNAcentral lists this long non-coding RNA (535 nucleotides) under Astyanax mexicanus (Mexican tetra). RNAcentral's name for it is "lncRNA (ENSAMXG00005000959.1)". Lineage: Eukaryota; Metazoa; Chordata; Actinopteri; Characiformes; Acestrorhamphidae. The record is from RNAcentral.